AGUGAACGCUGGCGGUAGGCCUAACACAUGCAAGUCGAACGGCAGCACAGUAAGAGCUUGCUCUUACGGGUGGCGAGUGGCGGACGGGUGAGGAAUACAUCGGAAUCUACUUUUUUGUGGGGGAUAACGUAGGGAAACUUACGCUAAUACCGCAUACGACCUACGGGUGAAAGCAGGGGAUCUUCGGACCUUGCGCGAUUGAAUGAGCCGAUGUCGGAUUAGUUAGUUGGCGGGGUAAAGGCCCACCAAGGCGACGAUCCGUAGCUGGUCUGAGAGGAUGAUCAGCCACACUGGAACUGAGACACGGUCCAGACUCCUACGGGAGGCAGCAGUGGGGAAUAUUGGACAAUGGGCGCAAGCCUGAUCCAGCCAUACCGCGUGGGUGAAGAAGGCCUUCGGGUUGUAAAGCCCUUUUGUUGGGAAAGAAAAGCAGCAGGUUAAUACCCCGCUGUUCUGACGGUACCCAAAGAAUAAGCACCGGCUAACUUCGUG
This 492-nucleotide ribosomal RNA is filed under the name uncultured bacterium. RNAcentral describes it as "partial 16S ribosomal RNA". It matches the Rfam family "Bacterial small subunit ribosomal RNA", at positions 29 to 507 of the family's 1533-position model. The record is from RNAcentral.